RNAcentral lists this ribosomal RNA (497 nucleotides) under uncultured bacterium. RNAcentral describes it as "partial 16S ribosomal RNA". It matches the Rfam family "Bacterial small subunit ribosomal RNA", at positions 28 to 507 of the family's 1533-position model. The record is from RNAcentral.
GAUGAACGCUGGUGGCGUGCCUAAUACAUGCAAGUCGAGCGAACGGACGAGAAGCUUGCUUCUCUGAUGUUAGCGGCGGACGGGUGAGUAACACGUGGAUAACCUACCUAUAAGACUGGGAUAACUUCGGGAAACCGGAGCUAAUACCGGAUAAUAUUUUGAACCGCAUGGUUCAAAAGUGAAAGACGGUCUUGCUGUCACUUAUAGAUGGAUCCGCGCUGCAUUAGCUAGUUGGUAAGGUAACGGCUUACCAAGGCAACGAUGCAUAGCCGACCUGAGAGGGGGGCCGCCAACACUGAAACGGAAACCGGGCCCAACCUCCACCGGGGGGAGCAAGAGGGGAUUCUUCGGCAGGGGCCGAAGGCCUGACGGACCAACGCGGGGGGGGUAAUGAAGUUCUCGGGAUCUUAAAACUUUUUUAUGGGGGAAAAACAUAUGUGAAAGAAACUGUGCACAUCUGACGGGUCCCUAAUAAGAAGGCCACGCCUAACUCCGUC